GUGGGGAAUCUUGCGCAAUGGGCGAAAGCCUGACGCAGCCAUGCCGCGUGAAUGAUGAAGGUCUUAGGAUUGUAAAAUUCUUUCACCGGGGACGAUAAUGACGGUACCCGGAGAAGAAGCUCCGGCUAACUUCGUGCCAGCAGCCGCGGUAAUACGAAGGGGGCUAGCGUUGCUCGGAAUUACUGGGCGUAAAGGGCGCGUAGGCGGACAGCUUAGUCAGAGGUGAAAGCCCAGGGCUCAACCUUGGAAUUGCCUUUGAUACUGGCUGUCUUGAGUACGGGAGAGGUGAGUGGAACUCCGAGUGUAGAGGUGAAAUUCGUAGAUAUUCGGAAGGACACCAGUGGCGAAGGCGACUCACUGGCCCGUUACUGACGCUGAGGCGCGAAAGCGUGGGGAGCAAACAGGAUUAGAAACCCGAGUAGUCC
Molecule: ribosomal RNA, 425 nt
Filed under: uncultured bacterium
Lineage: Bacteria
Description: partial 16S ribosomal RNA
Rfam family: Bacterial small subunit ribosomal RNA
Source: RNAcentral